CUGAAAAUGGUCGCUGUCCUGAUAUUUCAAUGAUCAGGCUAGUCACUUGCUAUAUUAAAAUUCUGCAGUGUGUCCCCAGGACUUGCUUGUUUCUCUAGUUCUGUGUUUUUAAUGGUUAGUGAUAUGU
RNAcentral lists this small nucleolar RNA (127 nucleotides) under Chelydra serpentina (North American snapping turtle). Its description in RNAcentral is "Small nucleolar RNA SNORA72 (ENSCSRG00000002497.1)". It matches the Rfam family "Small nucleolar RNA SNORA72". From Rfam's summary of the family: U72 is a member of the H/ACA class of snoRNAs. The snoRNA gene is located in intron 4 of the ribosomal L30 protein gene in human, mouse and chicken. Lineage: Eukaryota; Metazoa; Chordata; Testudines; Chelydridae. The record is from Rfam by way of RNAcentral.